AGCGAUAAAAGUUGGCUCUUUUAUGGGGGCCACUGCAAACGAAACAGUUUUGUCCUGAUAUUUUUGGUGGAUCAGACCUGUUCCGUAUGCUGUAGUUUUUGACGCAUUCUUGAUCUAUUGGUAACUCAUGAACCCCAUCGUAAUAAACAGGCUACAGCGGAAGCUGGGCUACACUUUUCAAC
Non-coding RNA from Yersinia mollaretii ATCC 43969, 182 nucleotides. The record is from Rfam. Lineage: Bacteria; Pseudomonadati; Pseudomonadota; Gammaproteobacteria; Enterobacterales; Yersiniaceae.